RNAcentral lists this ribosomal RNA (497 nucleotides) under uncultured bacterium. RNAcentral's name for it is "partial 16S ribosomal RNA". It matches the Rfam family "Bacterial small subunit ribosomal RNA", at positions 28 to 507 of the family's 1533-position model. The record is from RNAcentral.
GAUGAACGCUGGCGGCGUGCCUAAUACAUGCAAGUCGAGCGAACAGACGAGGAGCUUGCUCCUCUGACGUUAGCGGCGGACGGGUGAGUAACACGUGGAUAACCUACCUAUAAGACUGGGAUAACUUCGGGAAACCGGAGCUAAUACCGGAUAAUAUAUUGAACCGCAUGGUUCAAUAGUGAAAGACGGUUUUGCUGUCACUUAUAGAUGGAUCCGCGCCGCAUUAGCUAGUUGGUAAGGUAACGGCUUACCAAGGCAACGAUGCGUAGCCGACCUGAGAGGGUGAUCGGCCACACUGGAACUGAGACACGGUCCAGACUCCUGCGGGAGGCAGCAGUAGGGAAUCUUCCGCAAUGAGCGAAAGCCUGACGGAGCAACGCCGCGUGAGUGAUGAAGGUCUUCGGAUCGUAAAACUCUGUUAUUAGGGAAGAACAAAUGUGUAAGUAACUAUGCACGUCUUGACGGUACCUAAUCAGAAAGCCACGGCUAACUACGUG